CCCAGGUGUCCCCAGGUGUCCCCAGGUGUGUCCAGGUGUGCUCAGGUGUGACCCCAGGUGUCCCCAGGUGUCCCCAGGUGUGUCCAGGUGUGCUCAGGUGUGUCCCCAACCCCUCCCAGGUCCCCGCCCCUGCUCCAGGUGCGUCUCUCGCUCACCUUCGAGCCCCAGGUGAUUCCGGCCGUGGUUUCCGAGUGUCCCGAGGAGGGGGAGGAGCCUCGGGCUCACCUGGCGCGGGCGCGGCUCUGCUUCACCUGCGCCAAACGCAGCCGCGACAGCUUCGGUUCCGAGCCCUCUCUCCUUCUCCGCUUCCGGGCCGAGCUCGAUCCCGGGAGGCUCCGGAGCCGCGGAAUUUUCGCUUCCGGAACCUUCCAGAACGGGAGCCUCCGGAUGGGGGAGGGGCGGAGCUGCCGGACCCUCGAGAUCUUCUCCAAGGUUGAGGGGAAAUUUGGGAAUUUGGGGAAUUUUGGGGAUUUUUUUGGGAUUUUUUUGGGAAUUUUGGGGGGAAUUUUUGGGAAUUUUUUGGGAAUUUUUGGGAAUUUUGGGGGGGGAAUUUUUGGGGCAUUUUGGGGAAAUUUUGGGGAUUUUUGGGGGGAAUUUGGGGAUUUUUUGGGGGGAAUUUUGGGGGAUUUUUGGGGAAUUUUUGGGGAUUUUUUUGGGAUUUUUUGGGGAAUUUUUGGGGAUUUUUGGGGAUUUUUUGGGGGAUUUUUUAAGGGAUUUUU
Molecule: long non-coding RNA, 719 nt
Filed under: Cyanistes caeruleus (blue tit)
Lineage: Eukaryota; Metazoa; Chordata; Aves; Passeriformes; Paridae
Description: lncRNA (ENSCCEG00000007285.1)
Source: RNAcentral